UGUGCUGUGAUCAAAUGAAGGUUGGACUGA
Molecule: non-coding RNA, 30 nt
Filed under: Macaca fascicularis (crab-eating macaque)
Lineage: Eukaryota; Metazoa; Chordata; Mammalia; Primates; Cercopithecidae
Also listed under: 1 other name
Source: RNAcentral